Agrilus planipennis (emerald ash borer) is the source of this 1175-nucleotide long non-coding RNA. RefSeq lists it as uncharacterized. The transcript is spliced from 6 exons. NCBI's taxonomy places the organism in Eukaryota, Metazoa, Arthropoda, Insecta, Coleoptera, Buprestidae. The record is from RefSeq and is a predicted model, not a curated record.
GUAGCUCUACCUAUGGUCUUAAACAAAGCAUGAAAGUGCCCUUUUUCUAUUGGGAACGGAGACAGUUUGCUGAAGAAAGGAUUUAUGACAAUGAUUGUCCAAAUAACGAGAAGGAAUUGCAGUUAAUUUUGAUGCUACUGAAACAACGGAUGAUUUUGACAUCUUCAAUGGGUGGCAAUUGGAAAUUAAUAACAACAAAUUGUCUGCAGUGGCAUCUCUUCUAGAUAUGGUUUGCUCAUCACACUAGUAGACUUUAGAACGCCACUUUCUACAAUUAGUUAAGGUUAUCCAACAAAUGAGAGGAAGUUAAUGUUCAGUUAGAUAGAUAAUUGGUCUUCAAAUACCACACGUUAUUAACGAGGGUUGAAUCUUACAAUAGAGGACUGUGUCGACAUUACACUUAAGGAACAUAAAAUUAGUUAUGCUAUGUAUUAUGAAAAGUAGCAGUAACUGAAGUCCCGAAAAAAGCGUGAAGGUGCCUUUUUUGGAUUGAGAACGGAGGCAGGAUUGUUAAAGGAAGAAUUUAAAAAUUGCGAAAUGGAUUGGAAUGCGAUAAGCCCACAAGUCAACGUAGUUGUACCUGAAUGAAAGUGUCUUUUUUCUAUUGGGAACGGAGACAGUGUGCUGAAGAAAGGAUUUAUGACAAUGGUAUGUAACAGUAUCAAUUAAAAAUAAUAAAUGAGAUCCCAGAAACUUCAAUUUGUUAGACAUUUGUAAUUUGCUUCAGCAGACAACUUUCAAACAACGUUUCAGAAGCAGAACAGCAGAAUUAAUGUGGAAGGAAGGGAUCUUUCCAUGAGUGUGCAUGUUACUGAUUUACUUCAUUAAAAAUGGUAAUUAAUUCCUUUUUCUUGUCUGUUUCUACAGAUUGUCCAAAUAAUGAGAAGGAAUUGCAGUUUGCAGACGUCUUCAAUGGGUGGCAAUUGGAAAUUAAUUUGGAAGUCACAGAAACAACAAAUUGUCUGCAGUGGCAUCUCUCCUGGAUAUGAUUUGCUCAUCACACUAGUAGACUUUAGAACGCCACUUUCUACAAUUAGUUAAGGUUAUCUAACAAAUGAGAAGAAGUUAAAGUUCAGUUCGGCCGUAUUGAAACAACCAUUGUCUACAUGGGUGUGGUCUUUUGUGAACUAUAUUCUUGGUUUGCUGUUUUCGUCUUCGCUUUGCAGCAUUAUGCA